RNAcentral lists this microRNA precursor (147 nucleotides) under Salicornia europaea (common glasswort). Its description in RNAcentral is "miR11022 stem-loop (seu-MIR11022)". The record is from miRBase by way of RNAcentral. Lineage: Eukaryota; Viridiplantae; Streptophyta; Magnoliopsida; Caryophyllales; Amaranthaceae.
UCGAGGCUCUAGUGCUUCACCCUCACUAGCUACGGCCUACGCGUCCUACUGAACAUAACAAAGUAACCAGACCUAAAGGGUCUAAACCCCCCCAAGCUAGGAAAAAAGCAUCGUCACGAGGCUGUGGGUGGAGAGGUCUAGAUCUCG